RNAcentral lists this long non-coding RNA (589 nucleotides) under Anas platyrhynchos platyrhynchos (common mallard). RNAcentral's name for it is "lncRNA (ENSAPLG00000019258.1)". The record is from RNAcentral. Lineage: Eukaryota; Metazoa; Chordata; Aves; Anseriformes; Anatidae.
UGCACAGAAUCACUUGAAUACUAGGAAUUGUGAUGACAUUGAAGUGGAAUCGCAGGCACAAUGGACAUGGUGAAAAGCACACAAGGCAAACCCUGCCCAGCUGAUUGUGCUUAGCCUAACAUGCAAAAGAGGCACUUCCCAAGCUUGCCAGUACCCCAGGAGGUAUUAAGGCUUUCUCUGAAACCUAGUCAUAUUGAGGGCAGCCCGGCUCAACUUGGAAAGCUCUGAGGAGUUCUGUGAAAGGUGGUUCAGAUGUAUGUCAGUAGACAGUGCCGAUAAAUGCUCUUCCAGCCUGAUCCUGUUCGAUCUGAUGUACAAACAGAUGCAAAAGAUAUUCAAGCCUAUGGAGUGAAACAGUGGUGCUUGCUGCUCGACAUGAAAGAUAUAUCUUCUGUGGGAGCUCAUUUCUUUUCUUUUGUUACAACAGAAAAUAAAAAGAUUUUAAUAAAAGUGAAGAUAAAACACUUGAUAAUAUGUCUGUGAACAUAGUUCCAUUUUACCUCAGCUGUGGCAUGAAAGACCAUGAAAUAUCUUCAGCUGGCUCUUCAUUAAAUCACACUAUCUUUAAACAUAUUUCAAGGAAAGUAAG